UUGAUCCUUUACAAGACUUGAAACAACUAUUAUGUCCUUUUUAUUCAUUUUUGAUUUAUUUAUUUUUCUUUAAACGAUUUUCUAUAAUAUAUAUAUAUAUAUAUAUAUAUAUAUAUAUAUAUAUAUAUAAAAACAUAAGGGAUGCACAACAGACCGACCUCCGACUUCAUUGACUUAAACCGUCGGCCGGUCAAGGAAAAGCCCGAUCACCGCUUCCGAUUUCUCCGGAGGUGAGUUAAACUUCAGCCGCGUCUCGACCCCGUUCUUAUUUGCUCUGGGAAGGAAAUCAAACAACGAGAAGCUAUUCAACUCCACCUCUAAUCAAUCAUCACCCUACAACUCCUUGGUCUUCAAAUACCAGUACUUAUAGAUGUCAACAUCGCUUCCAAAGACGUGUUUUAUGGUCUUGGAGAGAGAACGCAACCACAUAGAGAUUUAGUAACAACACCACCACCCUCUGAUUUGGGUCCAAGUUUCAGAGAUGGUGGUUGCGGUGGUGGAGAUUGAUGGUCAUUAUUGGAUUCGAGUUUCUGAUCUGGAUCUGCUUCUACUCUGAUUUGAAUUUGCUUCUUCUCAUAUCUGAAUCUACUUCUUCUCUAAUCCCCUUCUCUCCGGUAAUCCCUACUCCACAACGGGUUUAAAUUUCAGAUCUAAAUGUAGAUCUGAUUGGGUUCACUAUCCAGGAAAGGUUAUUGUUUUCCCUUAAUGCUCAAAGCAGCCACAUACCAAGAUCGUCAUGUUGAAGGAUUAAUAGAGCAAGUACUCAUCUUUUAUUUGGUGUACCAUGCUUGUUUGUGUUUAUAUAUUAGUAUAUAUUUCAUUGUGUCAUAAAUUUGAUGUUUGGUGUUAACAUGUUAUAAAAUUGUUGGGGAUAAAAGAUUGUGUCAUUUAGUACAAAACCGAAUCAUAUGAUAUUACAAAUGGUUAUCAAGUA
This is a long non-coding RNA of Lactuca sativa (garden lettuce), 934 nucleotides long. RefSeq lists it as uncharacterized. The record is from RefSeq and is a predicted model, not a curated record. NCBI's taxonomy places the organism in Eukaryota, Viridiplantae, Streptophyta, Magnoliopsida, Asterales, Asteraceae.